UACGUAGGGUGCAAGCGUUGUCCGGAAUUACUGGGCGUAAAGAGCUCGUAGGUGGUUUGUCGCGUUGUUCGUGAAAACCGGGGGCUUAACCCUCGGCGUGCGGGCGAUACGGGCAGACGUUGAGUACUGCAGGGGAGACUGGAAUUCCUGGUGUAGCGGUGAAAUGCGCAGAUAUCAGGAGGAACACCGGUGGCGAAGGCGGUUCUCUGGGCAUGACCUGACGCUGAGGAGCGAAAGCAUGGGGAGC
RNAcentral lists this ribosomal RNA (247 nucleotides) under uncultured bacterium. RNAcentral's name for it is "partial 16S ribosomal RNA". It matches the Rfam family "Bacterial small subunit ribosomal RNA", at positions 524 to 769 of the family's 1533-position model. The record is from RNAcentral.